This is a long non-coding RNA of Onthophagus taurus, 489 nucleotides long. RefSeq lists it as uncharacterized. The record is from RefSeq and is a predicted model, not a curated record. NCBI's taxonomy places the organism in Eukaryota, Metazoa, Arthropoda, Insecta, Coleoptera, Scarabaeidae.
CUCCCCCACCAGUGACGUAACAGGUGAUUACCAAAUUCGUCAAGCGCUGAAAGUUUUUUGAAGGCACACUUCAAUUGCUUCAGUUCCACCGUUCGUUUGUGGUUAACUAUUAAGACUUCUUCCUUCAGGGGCGUUGAAAAAAGAGUAACAGCAACUAAACGAAGUAAUAAUGCCGAGUCCGUCCGAAACGAGGAAUUUACUAACAACUUUUAUGAUCCUCAUCAUUCUUCUGUUACUUUUAUGGAUACUUUAUUCAGGUGUUCAUAGCUAGAAGAUUAAUAAAUAACGUGAAGAAUGGAGACCAAUAACAGAUUUUUUCCUUUAAGACACUCAAAAAGAUGAUUAAGAUCAGAAUCCUAACUUUGUAUUUAUAAUUAUUUUUAUAAAUAUAAGACAAACUAGAAUAAUGUUUUCGAAAACUAAAAGCAAGAUACAUUUAUGUAAUUACCAUAUUUAAGAAAUUAAUAAAGUUUUGUUAUUAAUGAAGAA